CAGUCGCCACGGUAAUACGUAGGUGGCAAGCGUUGUCCGGAAUUAUUGGGCGUAAAGGGCUCGCAGGCGGUUUCUUAAGUCUGAUGUGAAAGCCCCCGGCUCAACCGGGGAGGGUCAUUGGAAACUGGGAAACUUGAGUACAGAAGAGGAGAGUGGAAUUCCACGUGUAGCGGUGAAAUGCGUAGAGAUGUGGAGGAACACCAGUGGCGAAGGCGACUCUCUGGUCUGUAACUGACGCUGAGGAGCGAGAGCGUGGGGAGCGAACAGGAUUAGAUACCCCGGUAGUCCCUGUCUCUUAUAC
RNAcentral lists this ribosomal RNA (301 nucleotides) under uncultured bacterium. RNAcentral describes it as "partial 16S ribosomal RNA". It matches the Rfam family "Bacterial small subunit ribosomal RNA", at positions 509 to 807 of the family's 1533-position model. The record is from RNAcentral.